CUACGGGAUGCACCAGUAGGGAAUCUUCCGCAAUGGACGAAAGACUGACGGAGCAACGCCGCGUGAGUGAUGAAGGCUUUCGGGUCGUAAAACUCUGUUGUUAGGGAAGAACAAGUGCUAGUUGAAUAAGCUGGCACCUUGACGGUACCUGACCAGAAAGCCACGGCUAACUACGUGCCAGCAGCCGCGGUAAUACAUAGGUGGCAAGCGUUAUCUGGAAUUAUUGGGCGUAAAGCGCGCGCAGGUGGUUUCUUAAGUCUGAUGUGAAAGCCCACGGCUCAACCGUGGAGGGUCAUUGGAAACUGGGAGACUUGAGUGCAGAAGAGGAAAGUGGAAUUCCAUGUGUAGCGGUGAAAUGCGUAGAGAUAUGGAGGAACACCAGUGGCGAAGGCGACUUUCUGGUCUGUAACUGUCACUGAGGCGCGAAAGCGUGGGGAGCAAACAGGAUUAGAUACCCCCGUAGUC
Molecule: ribosomal RNA, 465 nt
Filed under: uncultured bacterium
Lineage: Bacteria
Description: bacterial SSU rRNA
Rfam family: Bacterial small subunit ribosomal RNA
Source: RNAcentral